GGGUUGUGAGGUUAAGCGACUAAGCGUACACGGUGGAUGCCUAGGCAGUCAGAGGCGAUGAAGGGCGUGCUAAUCUGCGAAAAGCGUCGGCAAGGUGAUAUGAACCGUUAUACCCGACGAUACCCGAAUGGGGAAACCCAGUGUGUUUCGACACACUAUCAUGGCAUGAAUACAUAGUGUCAUGAGGCGAACCGGGGGAACUGAAACAUCUCAGUACCCCGAGGAAAAGAAAUCAACCGAGAUUCCCCCAGUAGCGGCGAGCGAACGGGGAGGAGCCCAGAACCUGAAUCAGUUUGUGUGUUAGUGGAAGCGUCUGGAAAGUCGCACGAUACAGGGUGACAGUCCCGUACACAAAAAUGCACAAGUUGUGAGUUCGAUGAGUAGGGCGGGACACGUGGUAUCCUGUCUGAACAUGGGGGGACCAUCCUCCAAGGCUAAAUACUCCUGACUGACCGAUAGUGAACCAGUACCGUGAGGGAAAGGCGAAAAGAACCCCGGCGAGGGGAGUGAAACAGAACCUGAAACCGUGUACGUACAAGCAGUGGGAGCCCUGAUUUAUCAGGGUGACUGCGUACCUUUUGUAUAAUGGGUCAGCGACUUAUAUUCUGUAGCAAGGUUAACCGUAUAGGGGAGCCGCAGGGAAACCGAGUCUUAACUGGGCGUUAAGUUGCAGGGUAUAGACCCGAAACCCGGUGAUCUAGCCAUGGGCAGGUUGAAGGUUGGGUAACACUAACUGGAGGACCGAACCGACUAAUGUUGAAAAAUUAGCGGAUGACUUGUGGCUGGGGGUGAAAGGCCAAUCAAACCGGGAGAUAGCUGGUUCUCCCCGAAAGCUAUUUAGGUAGCGCCUCGUGAAGUCAUCUUCGGGGGUAGAGCACUGUUUCGGCUAGGGGGGCCAUCCCGGCUUACCAACCCGAUGCAAACUGCGAAUACCGAAGAAUGUUAUCACGGGAGACACACGGCGGGUGCUAACGUCCGUCGUGAAGAGGGAAACAACCCAGACCGCCAGCUAAGGUCCCAAAGUCAUGGUUAAGUGGGAAACGAUGUGGGAAGGCCCAGACAGCCAGGAUGUUGGCUUAGAAGCAGCCAUCAUUUAAAGAAAGCGUAAUAGCUCACUGGUCGAGUCGGCCUGCGCGGAAGAUGUAACGGGGCUAAAACCAUGCACCGAAGCUGCGGCAGCGACGUUUAGGCGUUGUUGGGUAGGGGAGCGUUCUGUAAGCCGUUGAAGGUGGCCUGUGAGGGCUGCUGGAGGUAUCAGAAGUGCGAAUGCUGACAUAAGUAACGAUAAUGCGGGUGAAAAACCCGCACGCCGGAAGACCAAGGGUUCCUGUCCAACGUUAAUCGGGGCAGGGUGAGUCGACCCCUAAGGCGAGGCUGAAAAGCGUAGUCGAUGGGAAACAGGUUAAUAUUCCUGUACUCGGUGUUACUGCGAAGGGGGGACGGAGACGGCUAUGUCAUCCGGGCGACGGUUGUCCCGGUUUAAGCGUGCAGGUGGGUGGACCAGGCAAAUCCGGUCUGCUGUCAACACUGAGGCGUGAUGACGAGGCACUACGGUGCUGAAGUGACAGAUGCCCUGCUUCCAGGAAAAGCCUCUAAGCAUCAGGUAACAGUGAAUCGUACCCCCAAACCGACACAGGUGGUCAGGUAGAGAAUACUCAGGCGCUUGAGAGAACUCGGGUGAAGGAACUAGGCAAAAUGGUGCCGUAACUUCGGGAGAAGGCACGCUGGGCAUGGUGAAGUCCCUUGCGGACGGAGCUGGGCCCAGUCGCAGAUACCAGCUGGCUGCAACUGUUUAAUAAAAACACAGCACUGUGCAAACACGAAAGUGGACGUAUACGGUGUGACGCCUGCCCGGUGCCGGAAGGUUAAUUGAUGGGGUUAUCCGCAAGGAGAAGCUCUUGAUCGAAGCCCCGGUAAACGGCGGCCGUAACUAUAACGGUCCUAAGGUAGCGAAAUUCCUUGUCGGGUAAGUUCCGACCUGCACGAAUGGCGUAAUGAUGGCCAGGCUGUCUCCACCCGAGACUCAGUGAAAUUGAACUCGCUGUGAAGAUGCAGUGUACCCGCGGCAAGACGGAAAGACCCCGUGAACCUUUACUAUAGCUUGACACUGAACCUUGAACCUUGAUGUGUAGGAUAGGUGGGAGGCUGAGAAAUGUGGACGCCAGUCUGCAUGGAGCCGACCUUGAAAUACCACCCUUUAAUGUUUGAUGUUCUAACGUGGGCCCGUGAACCGGGUUGCGGACAGUGUCUGGUGGGUAGUUUGACUGGGGCGGUCUCCUCCCAAAGCGUAACGGAGGAGCACGAAGGUUAGCUAAUCCUGGUCGGACAUCAGGAGGUUAGUGCAAAGGCAUAAGCUAGCUUGACUGCGAGAGUGACGGCUCGAGCAGGUGCGAAAGCAGGUCUUAGUGAUCCGGUGGUUCUGAAUGGAAGGGCCAUCGCUCAACGGAUAAAAAGGUACUCCGGGGAUAACAGGCUGAUACCGCCCAAGAGUUCAUAUCGACGGCGGUGUUUGGCACCUCGAUGUCGGCUCAUCACAUCCUGGGGCUGAAGUAGGUCCCAAGGGUAUGGCUGUUCGCCAUUUAAAGUGGUACGCGAGCUGGGUUUAGAACGUCGUGAGACAGUUCGGUCCCCUAUCUGCCGUGGGCGUUGGAAGAUUGAGGGGGGGUUGCUCCUAGUACGAGAGGACCGGAGUGAACGCACCGCUGGUGUUCGGGUUGUCAUGCCAAUGGCACUGCCCGGUAGCUACGUGCGGAAGAGAUAACCGCUGAAAGCAUCUAAGCGGGAAACUUGCCCCGAGAUGAGUCUUCCCUGGGCCCUUGAGGCCCCUGAAGGGACGUUCGAGACGAGGACGUUGAUAGGCUGGGUGUGUAAGCGUAGCGAUACGUUGAGCUAACCAGUACUAAUGACCCGAGAGGCUUAACCUUACAACACCGAAGGUGUUU
RNAcentral lists this ribosomal RNA (2942 nucleotides) under Dickeya dianthicola. RNAcentral describes it as "23S ribosomal RNA". It matches the Rfam family "Bacterial large subunit ribosomal RNA". The record is from RNAcentral. Lineage: Bacteria; Pseudomonadati; Pseudomonadota; Gammaproteobacteria; Enterobacterales; Pectobacteriaceae.